This 410-nucleotide ribosomal RNA is filed under the name uncultured microorganism. Its description in RNAcentral is "bacterial SSU rRNA". It matches the Rfam family "Archaeal small subunit ribosomal RNA", at positions 330 to 742 of the family's 1478-position model. The record is from RNAcentral.
GUGCAACAGUCGCGAAACCUUCGCAAUGCGGGAAACCGCGACGAGGGGACUCCCAGUGCCUACGCUCAGCGUAGGCUGUUCCCGAGCCUAGAAAGCUCGGGGAGUAAGGGCUGGGUAAGACGGGUGCCAGCCGCCGCGGUAAUACCCGCAGCCCGAGUGGUGGCCACUAUUGUUGGGCCUAAAGCGUCCGUAGCCGGCCCGGUAAAUGCCUGGGUAAAUCGUGAGGCCUAACCUCACGAAUUCCGGGUAGACUGCCGGGCUAGGGACCGGAGGAGGGAGAGGGUACUCCAGGGGUAGGGGUGAAAUCCUGUAAUCCCUGGAGGACCACCGGUGGCGAAGGCGCUCUCCUAGGACGGGUCCGACGGUGAGGGACGAAAGCCAGGGGAGCGAACCGGAUUAGAUACCCCUGU